GCGCGUAGGCGGUUAUUUAAGUCAGAUGUGAAAGCCCAGGGCUUAACCUUGGAACUGCAUUUGAAACUGGAUAACUUGAGUAUGGUAGAGGUAAGCGGAAUUUCCAGUGUAGCAGUGAAAUGCGUAGAGAUUGGAAGGAAUAUCGAUGGCGAAGGCAGCUUACUGGGCCAAUACUGACGCUGAGGUGCGAAAGCGUGGGUAGCGAACG
RNAcentral lists this ribosomal RNA (208 nucleotides) under uncultured Cardiobacteriales bacterium. RNAcentral's name for it is "partial 16S ribosomal RNA". It matches the Rfam family "Bacterial small subunit ribosomal RNA", at positions 567 to 774 of the family's 1533-position model. The record is from RNAcentral. Lineage: Bacteria; Pseudomonadati; Pseudomonadota; Gammaproteobacteria; Cardiobacteriales.